ACACUGUAGAUACGCACUUAAUUCCUUUACUGACCCUCGUUACUUUUUAGCACUGUAGUAAAAAUAAUUAGUACAUUCAACAUUUAUUUUUUUAUUUUUUUUUAACUCUAGUUUUGAUCCAUCUAUCCAAAAAUAUUUAUUACAAAUAUUAUCUACCAAUCAGAAGAGCACUGGACUUCACUUUUAUACAGAAAGCUCUCCCC
RNAcentral lists this long non-coding RNA (203 nucleotides) under Mytilus galloprovincialis (Mediterranean mussel). The record is from RNAcentral. Lineage: Eukaryota; Metazoa; Mollusca; Bivalvia; Mytilida; Mytilidae.